CGACCGGCGCACGGGUGAGUAACGCGUAUACAAUUUGCCUUUACUGAAGAAUAGCCCAGAGAAAUUUGGAUAAUGCUUCAUAGUAUUAUUUGGUCACCUGGCCGAGUAAUUAAAGCUCCGGCGGUAAAAGAUGAGUAUGCGUCCUAUUAGCUAGAUGGUAAGGUAACGGCUUACCAUGGCGACGAUAGGUAGGGGUCCUGAGAGGGAGAUCCCCCACACUGGUACUGAGACGCGGACCCAG
This 241-nucleotide ribosomal RNA is filed under the name uncultured bacterium. RNAcentral describes it as "partial 16S ribosomal RNA". It matches the Rfam family "Bacterial small subunit ribosomal RNA", at positions 92 to 334 of the family's 1533-position model. The record is from RNAcentral.